UUCUACGGCCAUGCCACCCUAAAACAAACCCGAUCCUUUCUGAUCUUGGAAGCUAAUCAGGGUCAGGCCUGGUUAGUACUUGGAUGGGAGACCACCUAGGAAGACCAGGUGCUGUAGGCG
Ribosomal RNA from Pteropus vampyrus (large flying fox), 120 nucleotides. The record is from Ensembl. NCBI's taxonomy places the organism in Eukaryota, Metazoa, Chordata, Mammalia, Chiroptera, Pteropodidae.